Molecule: long non-coding RNA, 763 nt
Organism: Gossypium arboreum
Lineage: Eukaryota; Viridiplantae; Streptophyta; Magnoliopsida; Malvales; Malvaceae
Exons: 6
Source: RefSeq, a predicted model, not a curated record
AAAUUUAUCCCUUUGGAGUCUUCUUGAUGCUUUCUGUGUGCCAUUUCUUUUCAUUUCUGGGUGUAUUUGUGUAUUUUUCUCUCCCACGCCCUGUCACUAUCCCCAAACCUCCCUUGUCUCCCAAUCUGCUUUCCCCCCUAUGGCUUAUGCCUUUAAUAAAAAUCCCUCAUUUUUUCUAUUCUUAAGACAGACUUCAUUCAUUGACCCAACUUUAUCAUCAUUCUUUGACCAUGGCAUCGUACUCAAAAGAUGGAAAUGUCACUGCAUUGAUAUGGGGAGCAUCACCACAAUCACGAUCUGAUCGGCAGAAGGACCGAGUUGAGACAAAUCCUGAACAGUUGGCAGCUGCAUCAGGUUAGAUAAGUCAAAGUAAACAGGAGGGGUCUGAAAGAGGGACGGGAUUACAAAAUUUGUCAACUAUUUCUGCUCAACAUAAGAAAGUUGGUGAGAAAUCUCUUCUUUCAAUUUCUUCAUUAGUGCAGUAAAUUUGUGGGACACAGCACUAUGCAGUGUUCAACUUUGAUGAGACUAAUGUUAGAUGAGCCAUCAAUUUUGUUUUAUCUUUCCAUAGUGAAGUACAUCAUUUUGAGCUGCAAUUUUGAUAGAGGUGAAUCGAGUUCUUCUAACAGUGAAAGUGACCUUGAAAUUGCAAUGUUAAGGGAAACCAUUGCAAAUAGUUUAAUGAAUCAAUAUUUGUAAAAACAAAUUUGUAUCAAAACCUAAUUUCUAGUAAUAAUGAAACUUGUUAUGUCUUAUGUUAAUA